UGGGGAGCCGAGAUGGACAGAGACUGUGCUUCUAAAGAGCUGCCAGCCACUGUCGGGCCUAGGGCGAAGGCCAGAGCGCGAGCAAGACAGAAAAGUGUCCCCUCACCCUUGGACGGUCUGGGCCCGUUCGCGCCCGCGCCUUCGCGUUCCAACUUGGAAGCCGCACUGGCAGCCCGCCCUGGAGCCCGGAGCUGGUUGCGGCCAGGUCUCAUGCUCACCUGGUGAAGCAGUGAGCCUCUCCAAAGUUUUGAAGAACACGUCCGGAAGCGCCCCUGGCGAAGGGCAGCUCGCAAACCUCGCUGGUCUCUGCACCAGGUGGAGCCCAGUGAGAGUCCUGGUGUGAGAGUCCUGGGAUGGGGCUCCUGUGGCCGAGGCAGAUGAAGGGAAGAUUCAAGAAUUGCUGUUGGGAAAAUGGAUUAGCCAUGAGGAGAAAACACCUAUUUGCCUCAGUCCUUACAACAUAUCAAGAUGGAUCAAAUAAUUGAAAAUAAAAAGUUCACAUGUAAACAUGUACAUAUACCAGAACAAAUCAUGGGUAACUCUUUUUUGAUCUUGGAUGGUAAAGACCUAAGAAUAACAAAAACUCCAGAAAUUAUGGAGGAUGAGAUCAAUACAUUUGACAACAUUUGUUCAUUCAACAAACAUUUACUGAGUGCCCACUCUGUGUAGCUAGAUUGUAUUCUAGACACAAGAUCUCAGAGUUAUUCAGAACGAGGGUUUGGGAGCUGAGCUAUCAUGCUCUCACAGUCAGUUCUAGUUAAGGGCUGUCCUUGGUGACCUUAAGCCCCCAGCACUUUGGACUCUCUGGGAAUGGGAGCAGAGCAGCCCCAGUGACCUGAGGACAGGUACCACCCAUUGGAGGCCAACGCACAUCAAGCCUCAGAGAGAGAUGCAGGAAACAGGAACAGUAAAAGGGACCGAGCACCAAAAUCCCAGGUCAAUCACAUUCCCCAAAUGUCUACUAUGCAGUGUCCUUGCACUAUUUAACAUUCUUCUUUAAAUUAACGUAAUACCUAUUUAAAUAGAGCUCUUUAAAUAGAAAAUUAGUGGAUGAGAUUUUUCUCAAGAUAAAUGGAAAAUGUAGGAAGGACCAGGGUGAGGAGGGCAGAGAUGGGCAUGCCAAGGCUGGGGGACAUGAGACCAGGGCUCGAGAAGCAAGGACAGGAGCAAGUAGGAGGAUGGCCUGGAGUCUCUGGGAGAACCCUAGGGGAGCUCCAGUGUGGGAGGGCACAACUGGACCGCAAGGUGGGGGGUGGGGUAGGGGUGAGACUGCUCUGAGGGUGAGGGAGAGGUUGCCCUUGACAAAGGAAUACUGGAUGUUGGGAUCAAAGUGAGGUGGUGAUCUGAAGAAAGGGGAGCUGGGAAGAGGGCAUUAAUCCAGAAGGGAGAGGUUGGCAAUGCCCUUCCCAGCCCGCCUCUGCCCUGCUCUCUGUCUUUGAAACUCUGCCCUCCAGGCUCUGUUCUUGGCCUCCUUUUUUGUCUUCUCUGUGGGCAUCUCAGUCUCACGUUCUGUGGGUCUGUCACUUAAGUUUCUGUCUCAGUACCUGCUUCUCUUUGCCUCUUUGAUUUUAACUGCAUGUGCGGCUGGUUCAGCACAUGGCCAUUCUGUUGGAAAAGGAGUGGUGGAAGCAGGAUCUGGGCAAAGAUUCCUGGUGGUCAGUCAAGUGGAUACAAACUUGAGCCCGCCCCCAGUCUCUCUCUUGGGGUCACCCUGGGACUUGGAGGAGGGUCUCCCAGGCGGCCUUCCUUCUCUCCUACUGUGAACCAGAAUUUGAAAUCAGCUUCCAAGGCCUGCUCCAGGUUAGGCAGGACAAACCAGGCCCACAGAGGUCCUUUUUUUUAUUCUCCAGGUGUGUAUUGGAGGAGGCAGGGGAAUACCAGAGGGUGGCACAGGGUAGAAGUGAUUCACCCUCCUGGCAGUCCAGGGAGGCCCCCCAAGGAGAUGAUGCUAACAAAGUCGUUUUCGGAGCCCUCGGAUUCUGGGUGAGAGGACUUUUGCAUCAGUAGUGUCCCAGAAAAGGCUGCAUGUAAGGGACAGGAGGACAUAAUGAUGGAGGAAGAGCAUGAGGUCUUGAAGGCCAGGUUGAGUUUGGACUUUACCCUGUAGGUAAUCUGGAGCCAUUGAUACUUCUUGAGCAAGGAACAAGCAUCAUUUAAGAAACUAGUUCAAAUCUGAAGGUUGAAAUGACAAACAACUCAAACCAGCUUAAGCCACAAUGGGAAGGGGACUGCACUGGCUCCUGUAACUAAACCAUGGUACAUACCUGGGCUAGAGUGGUCUGGAAGCGGCUCCCCUGAGUGGAGGAGACAGGUCCCUAGCGGGAGGGUGUGAACUCUAGCUGCCCCUCCUAUGACCUGGAGGAUCAAGGCAUUAUCAGGGAAGUCCUAGGGCUUCCUUAUGCCCCAGGACACCCUGUCUUGUCUUCCCCACUCAGGUUGCCCCAAGACAGCAUCCUUAAUGGCUCCCCAACAGCUCAAUUUUUCGCCCUUAACACCCAUGCUCCCCUGGCAUCCUAAUUCUUACUUUCCAGCACUCUCUCUCCCCCCGUCACACAUGGGUCCUUCCAACCAAAAGCCUGUGACCACUCACACCUGGGCUUCCCAGCCAUCUUCCCCCUCUACCCUUGUUCCCAGGAUGCUUUCCAUCUGUCCCUAGGUGGGACCUGUGCAUAGUAUCCUUCCCACCUAGAGACACUUCACUCCCAAGAAUAAGGCCCCCUGAUGGGCCAGUGGUCCAGUAGUUGUAGCCCGCCCUCUGGUGGCCCCCAUGUUGUGAGGUCCUUUCCACAUGCCCAGUGGGUACGGAAGCUGGCCUCUCUCCCUGCCAGCUCCCUGAGGUACUCUAACCAGAGCGGGCUGAGUUGUGUCCCACACAUCACCUGGCUGUUGUGAUGUGCAUGUCUGUUCAGCUUUCCCUAGGGUAUUAGCAGAAAAUCCCUCAGGAAUGUGAGGGCUUGUGUGCUUGUCUGGAGUGGAGAACAGGGGAAUUAAGAGUGAUGUGUUCCACUUGGCACCAGUCUUGGAGUAGGAGAUGAAAUAGCAGAGUGAAUGCUGGCUACUGGUGAGGAGAAAAGGGCAGCUAGCCAGAGGACCUGAGCACAGAUGGAACAGGACACUUGGAGUAAAGCUGAUGGUCAUGGAGUGUUUGGGGAAUUUGAGAGCAAGACAGAGAGAGACUCUGGGGCUUUGGGGCUGAGAUGUUGCAUCCUCAGUGUACCCAGAAAUCCAAGAAGCCUUCCUGGAAGAGGAUACCCUAGCCACUUCCCCUCUACCUCCAAAAUUCCAGACCUGCCCUACCCAGAGAAGUUGGAUGGACUGAAGUGAUACAGCCCUGCAUUCAGGUCCUUCCUGGAGCUCUCAGUGCGGGGAGGACCUGGCCUCAGCCUGCAACCUUGUUACAAAGGAAGAGCUAUGGGGGCAGAGUGGGCAGGGUAGCCCCGUGUGCCCUUAGCUCACUGGCAAGAGUGGCUUUGACUCUUGAAGGGGCAGAGAGUCAGAGUCCCAAGUUGAUUCGGUGACUCUGGAGGCAAUGAACCCCCUGAGAUGAGCCCCUACCCUUCUAGCCCCCAUGUGGAUGGUCCCUUCGAUGUCUCCCCUCGGUCGGGCACUAGGUGUCACCUGGCCAGGCUGGUGGAGGCUGCUCUUGCCUGGCUGCUGGCCUCUGGGCUCUCUCACCCAGGUUCCGCAGCCCCCGGCUUCGGCCCAGUCACAGGUGCCUGCGGUUGCCAAGGCAGAGUCAGCAGAGGUGGACAGAACAGACACACCCCCAGUCUGUGGCAUGACAUAUUUCAUGGGCAGGUCUGGUCACAGACACACGUCUUGGCACACACAGGAGCCAGCUCAUUUGUACAAAGGCUCAGAUAACAUGUCAGGACAUAGGGCGCACACGUAACCAGGCUGUCUCUGCCUGGGCUGGUUUCUCCCACCUUGGCACUGUCCUCCCUUACCCUCCUGCCCUCCUUUAAAAAAAAAAAUUCAGUAAUUUAUGUCAGUUUUAGGCGGUACUUUAAAAACAUACACCUAGUCCAAAUACAAAAAUUUUCAUAACUAAAGGCCCAACCCUGCCAAGUACUACCCCGCUCCUACCCUGUGCCCUCCAACCCGGCCUCCUGCCCUCCUGGUCUUGAACCCUCCCUCAAGUGCAUGGAUGCUAGUGAGAGCACGGGAGCAUCUGCAGGCACUUUCUAUUUUUCACAAAACUUUCCCCAGAGGCCUGUGUGGAGAGAGGGCUGGGCUGCCCCCUUUGGAACUGGAGGAGUGGUGAAUAUAGGGAGGAAAAGUAUAUAAGAUCUCAAUAAAUCCGCCCAUCUCCUGACUCCACGCUUCCUCCCCUCUCCCCAUCCCAGCCACCUCCACACACACAGACACACAUACACACUCACACAAGUCAGUCAGAUACACCUGCCUCCCUUUGUCCUUCCACACUGAUGUCCCCCCCACACUGCUAAAGCCACUCAGGGCCGUGGCAGGCGCCCCCUGCGCUCCACACCUGAGUGCUGGGCUGGGGCGGGUGGAGA
Molecule: non-coding RNA, 4517 nt
Organism: Vicugna pacos (alpaca)
Lineage: Eukaryota; Metazoa; Chordata; Mammalia; Artiodactyla; Camelidae
Source: RefSeq, a predicted model, not a curated record